Molecule: ribosomal RNA, 406 nt
Filed under: uncultured bacterium
Lineage: Bacteria
Description: partial 16S ribosomal RNA
Rfam family: Bacterial small subunit ribosomal RNA
Source: RNAcentral
AUUGAACGCUGGCGGCAGGCCUAACACAUGCAAGUCGAGCGAGCGGCGGACAGGUGCGUAAUGUAUAGUGAUAUGCCCGCUAGAGUGGGAUAAAUACUGGAAACGGUGUCUAAUACCGCGUACUUUCGGAUGAACCCCUAUGGGAUUAGCUAGUUGGUAAGGUAAUGGCUUACCUAGGCGACGAUCCCUAGAUGGCCUGAGAGGAUGAUCAGCCACACUGGGACUGAGACACGGCCCAGACUCCUACGGGAGGCAGAAGUGGGGAAUAUUGCACAAUGGGCGAAAGCCUGAUGCAGCCAUGCCGCGUGUAUGAAGAAGGUCCUAGGGUUGUAAAGUACUUUCAGUAGGGAGGCGUUACCUACAGAAGAAGCAACGGCUAACUCCGUGCCAGCAGCCGCGGUAAUUC